This 440-nucleotide ribosomal RNA is filed under the name uncultured bacterium. RNAcentral's name for it is "partial 16S ribosomal RNA". It matches the Rfam family "Bacterial small subunit ribosomal RNA", at positions 338 to 795 of the family's 1533-position model. The record is from RNAcentral.
CCUACGGGGUGCAGCAGUGGGGGAUAUUGCACAAUGGGGGAAACCCUGAUGCAGCGACGCCGCGUGUGGGAAGACGGUCUUCUGGAUUGUAAACCACUGUCCCCCGGGACGAAAAUGACGGUACCUGGGGAGGAAGCUCCGGCUAACUACGUGCCAGCAGCCGCGGUAAUACGUAGGGAGCAAGCGUUGUUCGGAAUUACUGGGUGUAAAGGGAGCGUAGGCGGGGAGGCAAGUUGGGUGUCAAAACUACCGGCUCAACCGAUCGUCGCACCCAAAACUGCAGCUCUUGAGUGAAGUAGAGGCAGGCGGAAUUCCUAGUGUAGCAGUGAAAUGCAUAGAUAUCACGAGGAACUCCGAUUGCGAAGGCAGCGUACCGGCGCCCAACUGACGCUGAAGCACGAAGGCGUGGGUAUCGAACAGGAUUAGAUACCCGAGUAGUC